UACAGAGGGUGCAAGCGUUAAUCGGAAUUACUGGGCGUAAAGCGUGCGUAGUCGGUUAUCUAAGUCGGGUGUGAAAUCCCCGGGCUCAACCUGGGAAUUGCAUUCGAUACUGGAUAGCUAGAGCUCGGCAGAGGGAAGCGGAAUUUCGGGUGUAGCGGUGAAAUGCGUAGAUAUCCGAAGGAACAUCAGUGGCGAAAGCGGCUUCCUGGACCAGAACUGACGAUCAGGCACGAAAGCGUGGGGAGCAAACAGG
RNAcentral lists this ribosomal RNA (253 nucleotides) under uncultured bacterium. Its description in RNAcentral is "partial 16S ribosomal RNA". It matches the Rfam family "Bacterial small subunit ribosomal RNA", at positions 524 to 776 of the family's 1533-position model. The record is from RNAcentral.